ACUGUGGAUUAAUUAACGUCAGCAAGCAAUAUGUUCAUUCAAUGCCUUAGUUUCUGCUAUGUUGCACUGAACAAUAGUUUUUAAUAAAUCCUUUGUCCCAGAGUGAAGAACAGAAAUGGAGCUCAACUCUCUACCUGACGAUGUGCUGCUCGAAGUACUGAGUUAUCUGGAUGAAGAUGAACUGCUGGAGAGUCGCGCCGUCUGCCGCCGUUGGAGAGAGUUGGCGCUGCACCCAUUGAUUUGGCAGGACAAGUGUAUUCAUUUUUUGAUGAGCACCGAGCUUAUUGCCAUCGCUUUCCGUCUCGUGCCACGUUUGCACAAUCUUCGGAUGAAUCUUUCAAUUCACGGCGAUGCCUGCGACGUUCUUCUGGUCACACCGACUGCUAUUUCCGAGGUCACUCUCGUGUUCGAAGCGAAGGACGCCCUGCUUGUUGCGCUGAUACUUUCAAGGCAAGCCUCUCUUGGACGGUUGAAGAAGGUAUCGUUGAGCGUGACAGAUGACAUCAUCAGGACAUCGCACCGAGGACUCCGUGCACUUCUCCUGCAGAUAUGCCAAGCUCCCGUAUUGCAAUCAAUGAGCUUGAAGUUGAACGUGGACGAUGAGGAUGUUUUGGAUGUCAUCGAAGCGAAGGUGCCUGUGCCAGCGUCUCUGAAACAACUUAUUUGCCGGGCACGCUUGGAACCUUACCUGGAGCUGCUUAUGGAAUGGCAUGCGAAUACACUGGAAGACGUGAGCCUCUCGUCCGACGGCCCGCGAUUGACGUCGCUGCUCGCCGCCAUGCCGCGCCUGCGCAAGCUGUCCUGCCCCAUGCUGACGGACAUGCAGUUGCUUCGGCAGUGCCGGUCCUUGACGUACCUGAAGCUCAACCUCAACCUCUCUUCGACGACGCGGAGGCGGUGGAGGCUGGCCUGCCGGGGGCGCGGCUCUUGCUGCGCUCGGCGGCCGCGCGCCUGGAGCACCUCAAGAUCACCUACGCGCCGUACUCGUCCCCGGACGUCGUGGACCUGCUGCUCAGCAUCGGCAGGCGGUCCGGCGUGACCGCGCUGCGCAUCCUUAGGUUCAUGAUCAUGCAGUGGGACCCGGAGAUCCGUGACAGCGAGUCCUUCGACGAGGACGAGUCCGAGAGCCCUCCGCCGCAGCUGGUGCCUCUGGCCGCCAUCCUGCCGAGGCUGCCGCUUCUCACCAGGCUGGACAUCGACAGCGAGGCCUCGGACGCCUUCCUGGACGCGCUGGACGGACAGGGUGGUGGUGUUAUGGCCAAUGCGUUCUCAGUGAGCGGUCCUCUGGCCCACUGUGCAGGUGGUGCCCCAACUGGAGCGGCUGGACAUCCGCAUGCCACGCGACUGCGCCUGCCACCACUCCUGGCUCCACGUCGAGG
Molecule: unclassified non-coding RNA, 1379 nt
Filed under: Thrips palmi
Lineage: Eukaryota; Metazoa; Arthropoda; Insecta; Thysanoptera; Thripidae
Description: uncharacterized LOC117648214, transcript variant X9
Source: RNAcentral